ACCAAGGGGAGCUUGUGGGACAGGCUGAGAGGAAACUGAGAGUUUCGACCCGGAACCUGAUGUGGAUAAUGCCACCGUAGGGAUGGAA
RNAcentral lists this non-coding RNA (88 nucleotides) under bovine gut metagenome. RNAcentral describes it as "TPP riboswitch (THI element)". It matches the Rfam family "TPP riboswitch aptamer (THI element)", at positions 8 to 91 of the family's 105-position model. From Rfam's summary of the family: Vitamin B(1) in its active form thiamin pyrophosphate (TPP) is an essential coenzyme that is synthesised by coupling of pyrimidine and thiazole moieties in bacteria. The record is from RNAcentral.